UACGGAGGGUGCAAGCGUUAUCCGGAUUCACUGGGUUUAAAGGGUGCGUAGGCGGAUAGGUAAGUCCGUGGUGAAAUCCUGCAGCUUAACUGCAGAACUGCCGUGGAUACUAUCUAUCUUGAAUGUCGUGGAGGUUAGCGGAAUAUGUCAUGUAGCGGUGAAAUGCUUAGAUAUGACAUAGAACACCCAUUGCGAAGGCAGCUAACUACGCGAGAAUUGACGCUGAUGCACGAAAGCGUGGGGAUCAAACAGG
This 253-nucleotide ribosomal RNA is filed under the name uncultured bacterium. Its description in RNAcentral is "partial 16S ribosomal RNA". It matches the Rfam family "Bacterial small subunit ribosomal RNA", at positions 524 to 776 of the family's 1533-position model. The record is from RNAcentral.